UGGAAGAGAGUAGGUGAGUUGUGUUUAGUCUCUUUGCUAAAGAAAUGAGUCAAAGUUAAAAAGAUGUUUGGUGUCUAGUACUAUGGCUGUGACCCUAUAUGUCCUGUUGAUGAAGUUAGGUGCUGUUCUGAGCAUUAUUUGUGGCUAUAGAGUGGCGUUUUGGUUGAGGGCGUGGCUCUCUGUAUUGCUAUUCUGCGGUCGUUACUAAAGUUGGUAUAACUA
This is a non-coding RNA of Xyrichtys novacula (pearly razorfish), 222 nucleotides long. Lineage: Eukaryota; Metazoa; Chordata; Actinopteri; Labriformes; Labridae. The record is from the annotation of a GenBank genome assembly.